GCCCGAGGAUUAUAGACUAUAUUUGCUACUGCUGAGUGCUAUGAUGUUCAAAUUUAUCACCAAGAUCUAUGAGGGC
This 76-nucleotide small nucleolar RNA is filed under the name Lichtheimia corymbifera JMRC:FSU:9682. RNAcentral's name for it is "Small nucleolar RNA SNORD24". It matches the Rfam family "Small nucleolar RNA SNORD24". Rfam says of the family: U24 is a member of the C/D class of snoRNA which contain the C (UGAUGA) and D (CUGA) box motifs. C/D box snoRNAs have been shown to act as methylation guides for a number of RNA targets. Lineage: Eukaryota; Fungi; Mucoromycota; Mucoromycetes; Mucorales; Lichtheimiaceae. The record is from Rfam by way of RNAcentral.